AUGCAGCCACAUCACGUUGAAAGACCGGUUCCCACACAAUCACCGAAGUUAAGCAAUGUUGAGCCUGGUUAGUAUCUAGAUGGGUGACAGCUUGGGAAUACCAGGCGCUGUAAG
Acanthosepion pharaonis is the source of this 114-nucleotide non-coding RNA. NCBI's taxonomy places the organism in Eukaryota, Metazoa, Mollusca, Cephalopoda, Sepiida, Sepiidae. The record is from the annotation of a GenBank genome assembly.